UAAUACGUAGGGUGCGAGCGUUAAUCGGAAUUACUGGGCGUAAAGCGUGCGCAGGCGGUUCGUUAAGUCUGAUGUGAAAGCCCCGGGCUCAACCUGGGAAUGGCAUUGGAUACUGGCGGGCUGGAGUGUGGCAGAGGGGGGUGGAAUUCCGCGUGUAGCAGUGAAAUGCGUAGAGAUGCGGAGGAACACCGAUGGCGAAGGCAGCCCCCUGGGCUGACACUGACGCUCAGGCACGAAAGCGUGGGGAGCAAACAGGAUUAGAUACCCUGGUAGUCCACGCCCUAAACGAUGAUCACUGGGUGUUCGGGGAGCGAUCUCUGGGUACCGUAGCUAACGCGUGAAGUGAUCCGCCUGGGGAGUACGGUCGCAAGAUUAAAACUCAAAGGAAUUGACGG
This 395-nucleotide ribosomal RNA is filed under the name uncultured bacterium. RNAcentral's name for it is "bacterial SSU rRNA". It matches the Rfam family "Bacterial small subunit ribosomal RNA", at positions 521 to 916 of the family's 1533-position model. The record is from RNAcentral.